Molecule: ribosomal RNA, 484 nt
Filed under: uncultured bacterium
Lineage: Bacteria
Description: partial 16S ribosomal RNA
Rfam family: Bacterial small subunit ribosomal RNA
Source: RNAcentral
AUUGAACGCUGGCGGCAUGCCUAACACAUGCAAGUCGAGCGGAUGAAGGGAGCUUGCUCCUGGAUUCAGCGGCGGACGGGUGAGUAAUGCCUAUGAAUCUGCCUGGUAGUGGGGGAUAACGUCCGGAAACGGGCGCUAAUACCGCAUACGUCCUGAGGGAGAAAGUGGGGGAUCUUCGGACCUCACGCUAUCAGAUGAGCCUAGGUCGGAUUAGCUAGUUGGUGGGGUAAAGGCCUACCAAGGCGACGAUCCGUAACUGGUCUGAGAGGAUGAUCAGUCACACUGGAACUGAGACACGGUCCAGACUCCUACGGGAGGCAGCAGUGGGGAAUAUUGGACAAUGGGCGAAAGCCUGAUCCAGCAAUGCCGCGUGUGUGAAGAAGGUCUUCGGAUUGUAAAGCACUUUAAGUUGGGAGGAAGGGCAGUAAGUUAAUACCUUGCUGUUUUGACGUUACCAACAGAAUAAGCACCGGCUAACUUCGUG